UGGGGAAUAUUGCACAAUGGGGGAAACCCUGAUGCAGCGACGCCGCGUGAACGAAGAAGGUAUUCGUAUCGUAAAGUUCUGUCCUAUGGGAAGAUAAUGACAGUGCCAUAGAAGAAAGCUCCGGCUAAAUACGUGCCAGCAGCCGCGGUAAUACGUAUGGAGCGAGCGUUGUCCGGAAUUAUUGGGCGUAAAGGGUACGCAGGCGGUUUAAUAAGUCGAAUGUUAAAGAUCGGGGCUCAACCCCGUAAAGCAUUGGAAACUGAUAAACUUGAGUAGUGGAGAGGAAAGUGGAAUUCCUAGUGUAGUGGUGAAAUACGUAGAUAUUAGGAGGAAUACCAGUAGCGAAGGCGACUUUCUGGACACAAACUGACGCUGAGGUACGAAAGCGUGGGGAGCAAACAGG
Molecule: ribosomal RNA, 403 nt
Filed under: bacterium
Lineage: Bacteria
Description: partial 16S ribosomal RNA
Rfam family: Bacterial small subunit ribosomal RNA
Source: RNAcentral